RNAcentral lists this ribosomal RNA (485 nucleotides) under uncultured bacterium. RNAcentral's name for it is "bacterial SSU rRNA". It matches the Rfam family "Bacterial small subunit ribosomal RNA", at positions 28 to 505 of the family's 1533-position model. The record is from RNAcentral.
GAUGAACGCUAGCGAUAGGCCUAACACAUGCAAGUCGAGGGGCAUCACAUGAAGUAGCAAUACGGAUGGUGGCGACCGGCGCACGGGUGAGUAACACGUAUGCAACCUGCCUUCAACAAGGGGAUAACCCGUUGAAAGACGGACUAAUACCCUAUAACACAGGGGUCCCGCAUGGGAAUAUUUGUAAAGGACAACCGGUUGAAGAUGGGCAUGCGUUCCAUUAGCUAGUUGGCGGGGUAACGCCCACCAAGGCAACGAUGGAUAGGGGAACUGAGAGGUUUAUCCCCCACACUGGUACUGAGACACGGACCAGACUCCUACGGGAGGCAGCAGUGAGGAAUAUUGGUCAAUGGACGCAAGUCUGAACCAGCCACGUCGCGUGAAGGAAGACGGCCCUACGGGUUGUAAACUUCUUUUGUAAGGGAAUAAAGUGUAGUAACGCGUACUAUUUUGCAUGUCCUUACGAUAAGGAUCGGCUAACUCCG